AGAGUUGAUCCUGGCUAGGACGAACGCUGGCGGCGUGCUAACACAUGCAAGUCGAACGAGGAUAGUCAGAAGCUUGCUUUGACUAUCCGAGUGGCGGACGGGUGAGUAACGCGUGAACAAUCUGUCUCACACAGGGGAAUAACGCAUCGAAAGAUGUGCUAAUACCGCAUAGGACCACGAGGUCGCAUGGCUUUGAGGUGAAAGGAGAAAUCCGGUGUGAGGUGAGUUCGCGUCUGAUUAGAUAGUUGGUGAGGUAACGGCCCACCAAGUCAACGAUCAGUAGCCGACCUGAGAGGGUGAUCGGCCACAUUGGGACUGAGACACGGCCCAGACUCCUACGGGAGGCAGCAGUGGGGAAUAUUGGGCAAUGGGCGAAAGCCUGACCCAGCAACGCCGCGUGAAGGAAGAAGGUUUUCGGAUCGUAAACUUCUGUCCUAUGAGAAGAUAGUGACGGUAUCAUAGGAGGAAGCCCCGGCUAACUACGUGCCAGCCGCCGC
This 497-nucleotide ribosomal RNA is filed under the name uncultured bacterium. Its description in RNAcentral is "bacterial SSU rRNA". It matches the Rfam family "Bacterial small subunit ribosomal RNA", at positions 9 to 518 of the family's 1533-position model. The record is from RNAcentral.